AGUGAACGCUGGCGGUAGGCCUAACACAUGCAAGUCGAACGGAAGCACCGUGAGAGCUUGCUCUUCCGGGUGGCGAGUGGCGGACGGGUGAGGAAUACAACGGACUCUACUUUUUCGUGGGGGAUCACGUAGGGAAACUUACGCUCAUACCGCAUACGACCUACGGGUGAAAGCAUGGGAUCUUCUGACCUUGCGCGGUUGAAUGAGCCGAUGUCGGAUUAGCUAGUUGGCGGGGUAAAGGCCCACCAAGGCGACGAUCCGUAGCUGGUCUGAGAGGAUGAUCAGCCACACUGGAACGGAGACACGGUCCAGACUCCUACGGGAGGCAGCAGUGUGGAAUAUGAGACAAUGGGCGCAAGCCUGAUCCAGCCAUACCGCGUGGGUGAAGAAGGCCUUCGGGUUGUAAAGCCCUUUUGUUGGGAAAGAAAAGCAGCAGGUUAAUACCCCGCUGUUCUGACGGUACCCAAAGAAUAAGCACCGGCUAACUUCGUG
This 492-nucleotide ribosomal RNA is filed under the name uncultured bacterium. Its description in RNAcentral is "partial 16S ribosomal RNA". It matches the Rfam family "Bacterial small subunit ribosomal RNA", at positions 29 to 507 of the family's 1533-position model. The record is from RNAcentral.